RNAcentral lists this ribosomal RNA (254 nucleotides) under uncultured bacterium. Its description in RNAcentral is "partial 16S ribosomal RNA". It matches the Rfam family "Bacterial small subunit ribosomal RNA", at positions 524 to 776 of the family's 1533-position model. The record is from RNAcentral.
UACGUAGGGGGCAAGCGUUGUCCGGAUUUAUUGGGCGUAAAGCGCUCGUAGGUGGUUCGGUAAGUCGGGUGUGAAAUCUCCAGGCUCAACCUGGAGGGGUCAUUCGAUACUGCCGUGACUAGAGGUCGGUAGGGGAGUGUGGAAUUCCUGGUGGAGCGGUGAAAUGCGCAGAUAUCAGGAGGAACACCCGUAGCGAAGGCGGCACUCUGGGCCGAUACUGACACUGAGGAGCGAAAGCAUGGGGAGCGAACAGG